This 422-nucleotide ribosomal RNA is filed under the name Megophrys major. RNAcentral's name for it is "Xenophrys major partial 12S ribosomal RNA". It matches the Rfam family "Bacterial small subunit ribosomal RNA", at positions 903 to 1521 of the family's 1533-position model. The record is from RNAcentral. Lineage: Eukaryota; Metazoa; Chordata; Amphibia; Anura; Megophryidae.
AAGACUUGGCGGUGCCCUAUACCUCCUAGAGGAGCCUGUUCUAUAAUCGAUAAUCCCCGAUCAACCUCACCUCCCCUUGCCAAUACCGCCUGUAUACCUCCGUCGUCAACUGACCCCUCAAGGGAAAUAGUUGGUUCAAUGGCUAUCACCAAAAAGUCAGGUCAAGGUGCAGCGAAUGGGGAGGGAAGAAAUGGGCUACAUUCUCUACCUUUAGACUAUACGAAAGAUCACUAUGAAAUCUGAUUAGAAGGCGGAUUUAGCAGUAAAAAGAGACUAGAGCGCUCUUUUUAAGUCGGCCCUAGGGCGCGCACACACCGCCCGUCACCCUCUUCAACUCCACAUUUUUUAAAUCUAUAAUCUCCCCCUCGGAGAAUAGAAGAGGCAAGUCGUAACACGGUAAGUCCACCGGAAGGCGGACUUGG